Venturia canescens is the source of this 862-nucleotide long non-coding RNA. RefSeq lists it as uncharacterized. Lineage: Eukaryota; Metazoa; Arthropoda; Insecta; Hymenoptera; Ichneumonidae. The transcript has 3 exons. The record is from RefSeq and is a predicted model, not a curated record.
CUGGGGAUAUCGAUGCUUUCCUACCACCGCAAUUGAAAGUUCGUAAUGUUGUGAAGAAAAGCAGCUAUGAGAAAAGUGCAUUACCGGAAGCGAUAAUCGAUCUUCCCGAAUCUCCUCGAUCCGUGAGUUCCGGAGCAAGUUACCUUCAAAACGAUUGGGACUACAAGGAAUUGCAAGCACUUCUUGCAGUUCUUUGGGAGCAAAACGGUGAAAGGCGAGCUUUGAAGUUUACUGAUUUAGUACCACCAGAAAGUUCUACAAAACUCGAUGCAGCAGUAUGUUUUACUCUGCUUCUUGAACUCCACAAGGACGGAAAAGUGAAUUUGGCACAAGAGGAACUCUAUAGUGAUAUUUACAUUUAUAAAAAGGGUAACUCCAAGGAACGAAUGUUCGAUGUUCAGGAUAAAUGAAAGUAACAAUACAUCCCGAAUAUUUUACGCGAUCUCAACAUGUUCAAGUUGAAUGUUGUUUUUUUGAAUAAUUCUUCAAGACUGAUUACAUAAAACGAAAAUUCAAUAUGUGGGGUAAAUCAAAGAAUCUAUGCACCCCGAAUAUUUCACGUGGUCUCAAUGUUUUAAAGUUUUUUCAUGGUUUUCUCUUAAUCUUAAAUACCCAUAGGAAGGAAAAUUUAUUGCUUGGGAAAAUUUGAAACAGAAAAAUCUCGGAUGUCCCACGUAUUCUCAAGAUUUUUCAUACAAAGGAGUUUUUAUAUCCACUCUAUAAGGAUGAUAUUAAUAUUAAAAUUCAUUAUAUAUAAAUAUUCAUGUGGAAUAUGGAGUCAAGAAAAUGUGUAGUCCCGUGAACUUGGGAUUUUAUGUUAAUUUCGACAUCUUUUAAGGAAAAGUAACAAAAUUAAACGAUU